UAGGGAGUUUUCGGCAAUGGGGGAAACCCUGACCGAGCAACGCCGCGUGAGUGAUUAAGGUCUUCGGAUUGUAAAGCUCUGUUACAGGGGAAGAAUGGCGACUUCAGGAAAUGGGAGUCGUUUGACGGUACUCUGCCAGAAAGUGACGGCUAACUACGUGCCAGCAGCCGCGGUAAUACGUAGGUCACAAGCGUUAUCCGGAAUUAUUGGGCGUAAAGAGUGAGCAGGCGGCAUGGUAAGUUCGCAGUGAAAGCGUGGGGCUUAACCCCAUAUAGCUGUGAAAACUGCCAAGCUUGAGUAUGUGAGAGGUCAACGGAACUCCAUGUGUAGCGGUGAAAUGCGUAGAUAUAUGGAAGAACACCGGUGGCGAAGGCGGUUGACCAGCACAAUACUGACGCUCAGUCACGAAAGCGUGGGGAGCAAAUA
This 426-nucleotide ribosomal RNA is filed under the name uncultured bacterium. RNAcentral describes it as "bacterial SSU rRNA". It matches the Rfam family "Bacterial small subunit ribosomal RNA", at positions 355 to 774 of the family's 1533-position model. The record is from RNAcentral.